This 567-nucleotide ribosomal RNA is filed under the name uncultured Ochrobactrum sp. RNAcentral describes it as "bacterial SSU rRNA". It matches the Rfam family "Bacterial small subunit ribosomal RNA", at positions 72 to 683 of the family's 1533-position model. Lineage: Bacteria; Pseudomonadati; Pseudomonadota; Alphaproteobacteria; Hyphomicrobiales; Brucellaceae. The record is from RNAcentral.
ACCCUUCGGGGUUAGUGGCGGACGGGUGAGUAACACGUGGGAACGUGCCUUUAGGUUCGGAAUAGCUCCUGGAAACGGGUGGUAAUGCCGAAUGUGCCCUUCGGGGGAAAGAUUUAUCGCCUUUAGAGCGGCCCGCGUCUGAUUAGCUAGUUGGUGAGGUAACGGCUCACCAAGGCGACGAUCAGUAGCUGGUCUGAGAGGAUGACCAGCCACACUGGGACUGAGACACGGCCCAGACUCCUACGGGAGGCAGCAGUGGGGAAUCUUGCGCAAUGGGCGAAAGCCUGACGCAGCCAUGCCGCGUGAAUGAUGAAGGUCUUAGGAUUGUAAAAUUCUUUCACCGGGGACGAUAAUGACGGUACCCGGAGAAGAAGCCCCGGCUAACUUCGUGCCAGCAGCCGCGGUAAUACGAAGGGGGCUAGCGUUGCUCGGAAUUACUGGGCGUAAAGGGCGCGUAGGCGGAUCGUUAAGUCAGAGGUGAAAUCCCAGGGCUCAACCCUGGAACUGCCUUUGAUACUGGCGAUCUUGAGUGUGAGAGAGGUAUGUGGAACUCCGAGUGUAGAGGUG